AGGAGAGGUGCCUCUUAUCUGGCGAGUUCAGAAGAUUUCCGUGAGAAUCCCUCAAGAAAUGCCUGAAAAGAAGCCUUGGAAUGAGUCGAAAUCCCACAGGAAUUAUCUGCAAGAGGUAUCCUGUAUUUGGGAGGCCUGGAGAGCACCCUUUGUGUCUGUUCUUCAGCUUUUUCCAGCAGGCAGCUAAAUGGGGGUCUCGGAGCCUGGCAAACGUUGAGUAAAGGUGAUGGGAGAACAAAGGGCCAAACAAGCCGACUCUCUUUGGAGUCAGGUAUCAAGAGGAUAACCAUCGUUGUGUCAAAGGGAGCCACCACUGGUCGACACAAAAGAAUGACUGACAGCAGAAAAGAGGAUGGGGUUUCAGAGCCUGGGCAUGAAAAGGAAAACAUCAUUCUCCAUCUUUUUUGUUCACAGGCAGUGAAAGGCCCCUUAUGCGGGUCAUAGUGUGACACCACUAGAGGAAUUUGCACUCUGAAACGGCCACUAUAUUGAGUGAUUGGAUCCAUUUGUGUCUUUUAAUUGAAAGAGCCGUUUUUUUUUUGAUGAGUCAAGGGUCAAGGCUGAAUCAGUGAGGGCGGCCGCUCAAAACCAAAACAAAAACAACACUUGUCAUCGCUUUUAUCGCAGCUGAUCCACCUUUGUGUUUGCGGGUGGCUUAAGCGGCCCAGAUGCAAGCUUGGAAUCAUGCCGGGCUUGUGAUGCCCCCAUCGCGAAUGACUUUUGUGUGCGGGGAGGUUAUCUGUCGGCCUCUUUCAAAGGUGGAGGACAGACAAUAGGCUUUCGUGCCAUGCGAAGAGAGUGUCCCUCCCUCAGCAUGCAAGGCUUGGUUCAUGAACACAGCACAAAGGAAUGAGAUCCCCACCUCAUCCCAGACUGGAUUAACAUAGACGCACAUAUACACAACACAUAUGCACGCAUAAUAGGUCUAAUUUGUUUGUUUACGAUGUUCUGUUGCCAAUGGCUGAUUGUAACCACAACACAAGAGCUAAUCAGACACUUUCUGCUACAAGUCAUGCCAUACCAGCAUAUAAGUCAGACGUAGAGCUAAAAUAUGAUUUGAAAAUAGAAUUAUGCAUUUCUGAGUGCUAAUC
Molecule: long non-coding RNA, 1091 nt
Organism: Cyprinus carpio (common carp)
Lineage: Eukaryota; Metazoa; Chordata; Actinopteri; Cypriniformes; Cyprinidae
Source: Ensembl